AGGUAAGCUACUAAGAGCGAAUGGUGGAUGCCUUGACUGGUAAAGGCGAUGAAGGACGUACUAGACUGCGAUAAGCUACGGGGAGCUGUCAAGAAGCUUUGAUCCGUAGAUUUCCGAAUGGGGCAACCCAAUGUAUAGAGAUAUACAUUACCUAUAUAGGAGCGAACGAGGGGAAUUGAAACAUCUUAGUACCCUCAGGAAAAGAAAUCAAUAGAGAUUGCGUCAGUAGCGGCGAGCGAAAGCGCAAGAGGGCAAACCCAGUGCUUGCACUGGGGGUUGUAGGACUGCAAUGUGCAAGAGCUGAGUUUAGCAGAACAUUCUGGAAAGUAUAGCCAUAGAGGGUGAUAGUCCCGUAUGCGAAAAACAAAGCUUAGCUAGCAGUAUCCUGAGUAGGGCGGGACACGAGGAAUCCUGUCUGAAUCCGGGUCGACCACGAUCCAACCCUAAAUACUAAUACCAGAUCGAUAGUGCACAAGUACCGUGAGGGAAAGGUGAAAAGAACUGAGGUGAUCAGAGUGAAAUAGAACCUGAAACCAUUUGCUUACAAUCAUUCAGAGCACUAUGUAGCAAUACAGUGUGAUGGACUGCCUUUUGCAUAAUGAGCCUGCGAGUUGUGGUGUCUGGCAAGGUUAAGCAAACGCGAAGCCGUAGCGAAAGCGAGUCUGAAUAGGGCGCUUAGUCAGAUGCUGCAGACCCGAAACGAAGUGAUCUAUCCAUGAGCAAGUUGAAGCUAGUGUAAGAACUAGUGGAGGACUGAACCCAUAGGCGUUGAAAAGCCCCGGGAUGACUUGUGGAUAGGGGUGAAAGGCCAAUCAAACUUCGUGAUAGCUGGUUCUCUCCGAAAUAUAUUUAGGUAUAGCGUUGUGUCGUAAUAUAAGGGGGUAGAGCACUGAAUGGGCUAGGGCAUACACCAAUGUACCAAACCCUAUCAAACUCCGAAUACCUUAUAUGUAAUCACAGCAGUCAGGCGGCGAGUGAUAAAAUCCGUCGUCAAGAGGGAAACAACCCAGACUACCAGCUAAGGUCCCUAAAUCUUACUUAAGUGGAAAACGAUGUGAAGUUACUUAAACAACCAGGAGGUUGGCUUAGAAGCAGCCAUCCUUUAAAGAAAGCGUAAUAGCUCACUGGUCUAGUGAUUUUGCGCGGAAAAUAUAACGGGGCUAAAGUAAGUACCGAAGCUGUAGACUUGCACACAACUUAGAUUAUUUAAGUUUAGAAUAUGAGAAACUAAGUUAUAUGUUUAGUUAUAUUUUUACUGAUUUUUAUAGAGUAAAGAUAGAAAUAAAACUUAGUAAAAUCAGUAAAAAUAUUCUUAGGCUAAAGUUAAGUAGUUUAAGUUGUGUGCAAGUGGUAGGAGAGCGUUCUAUUUGCGUCGAAGGUAUACCGGUAAGGAGUGCUGGAGCGAAUAGAAGUGAGCAUGCAGGCAUGAGUAGCGAUAAUUAAUGUGAGAAUCAUUAACGCCGUAAACCCAAGGUUUCCUACGCGAUGCUCGUCAUCGUAGGGUUAGUCGGGUCCUAAGUCGAGUCCGAAAGGGGUAGACGAUGGCAAAUUGGUUAAUAUUCCAAUACCAACAUUAGUGUGCGAUGGAAGGACGCUUAGGGCUAAGGGGGCUAGCGGAUGGAAGUGCUAGUCUAAGGUUGUAGGAGGUUAUACAGGCAAAUCCGUAUAACAAUACUCCGAGAACUGAAAGGCUUUUUGAAGUCUUCGGAUGGAUAGAAGAACCCCUGAUGCCGUCGAGCCAAGAAAAGUUUCUAAGUUUAGCUAAUGUUGCCCGUACCGUAAACCGACACAGGUGGGUGGGAUGAGUAUUCUAAGGCGCGUGGAAGAACUCUCUUUAAGGAACUCUGCAAAAUAGCACCGUAUCUUCGGUAUAAGGUGUGGUUAGCUUCGUACUAGGAUUUACUCCGAAAGCGAAGAAACUUACAACAAAGAGUCCCUCCCGACUGUUUACCAAAAACACAGCACUCUGCUAACUCGUAAGAGGAUGUAUAGGGUGUGACGCCUGCCCGGUGCUCGAAGGUUAAUUGAUGGGGUUAGCAUUAGCGAAGCUCUUGAUCGAAGCCCGAGUAAACGGCGGCCGUAACUAUAACGGUCCUAAGGUAGCGAAAUUCCUUGUCGGUUAAAUACCGACCUGCAUGAAUGGCGUAACGAGAUGGGAGCUGUCUCAAAGAGGGAUCCAGUGAAAUUGUAGUGGAGGUGAAAAUUCCUCCUACCCGCGGCAAGACGGAAAGACCCCGUGGACCUUUACU
RNAcentral lists this ribosomal RNA (2249 nucleotides) under Campylobacter jejuni. RNAcentral's name for it is "partial 23S ribosomal RNA". It matches the Rfam family "Bacterial large subunit ribosomal RNA", at positions 1 to 2105 of the family's 2925-position model. Lineage: Bacteria; Pseudomonadati; Campylobacterota; Epsilonproteobacteria; Campylobacterales; Campylobacteraceae. The record is from RNAcentral.